CAUCGGAAACGUCCAAGGUGGAUGCGGAAAUUCAAACAAAAUUGAAACUUGCCAUGCAAGCAUUGUAAAAAACACGAAACAAAACAAAAAGGAUUUCUUGCCUUUUUUUUUCCUUUCUU
This 119-nucleotide non-coding RNA is filed under the name Asterionellopsis glacialis. Lineage: Eukaryota; Bacillariophyta; Plagiogrammaphyceae; Rhaphoneidales; Asterionellopsidaceae. The record is from RNAcentral.